AACGUUUUGUCAAGCUCUGAAAAAUCAUAACCAUUAAAAAAUUUAUUUAUGAUUCUCGUGAUUCUCGUGAACGCACGUGAACGUGAAAACUCUUUCAUCAGUAAUUUUUUUAUAAUCAAAGAAAAUGAAUGUGACGGAGAAGCAGAAACAAAUACUUAUAAAUUUUAUGCGUUCUCAUCCCGACUUUGGAAGAGGACGAUUACGAUAUAAUCGCGAAAAUAAAAGGAAACUAGAUGAAUUAUGGGACGAGGUAACAACAGCUCUCAACAGCGCAAGCUGUGGCCCUAAAAAGUUGCCAAAAGACUGGGCAAAGACAUGGCGUGAUUGGAAGGCCAAUUUAUUGAAAAGGGUAGCCAUGUAUAAAUGUUAUGCAACAGGUACUGGAGGAGGACCAGCAAAAACUUUAGAUACAAGUCCUUCUGAAGAUGACUUGUUAGAGUUCCUCACCCCUGAAGCCAGUGGAAUGGAUGAUAUUCCUGAAGCAGGAGCUAUUAGCAAUUCAUUCUGUCCUGACAAUGAUUCAUUAUCAGAUUCUUUGACUUUGCAAAUGAAAGAAAAUUUUGUCUCUCAAAGUCCGAACUUCACUUCUAAUCUAACGAUUAGAAAGCCUUUGAUGCCGCAAGAUCAACAGAACAGGCAAAUCACUAAGGAAUUACUCAGUCAACGAAAAACUUUGCAGAAUUUGCAGACAUUCCAGAGUACCAAAUAUUCAAAGAAACUACAAGAUGCGACUUCUUUUCGGCAGAUUAAUGUUGAGGAAGAUCCCUGCCACAGCGAUAUAAUAAAUGUCGAUGCAGAUUUUAUAUCUUCUAAUGAACUCAAAGGAAAUGUAAGAGACACACAAAAAAAAACAGGAAAUGUUCUAACGAUGAAAAUACUAGUAACAAGAAAAUAAAGCAAGAUGUAAAACACUUGUUAGAGCAAUAUGCCUGUGAUAACUCUAAUACUAACGAGCAAAUGUUGCAAAUAAAACAAGAAAAAUUAGCCAUAGCCAAAGAA
Long non-coding RNA from Monomorium pharaonis (pharaoh ant), 999 nucleotides. RefSeq lists it as uncharacterized. The record is from RefSeq and is a predicted model, not a curated record. NCBI's taxonomy places the organism in Eukaryota, Metazoa, Arthropoda, Insecta, Hymenoptera, Formicidae. The transcript is spliced from 8 exons.